AAUUGGACAAUGGGUUAGCGCCUGAUCCAGCCAUCCCGCGUGAAGGACGACGGCCCUAUGGGUUGUAAACUUCUUUUGUACAGGGAUAAACCUUUCCACGUGUAAGAAGCUGAAGGUACUGUACGAAUAAGCACCG
This 136-nucleotide ribosomal RNA is filed under the name uncultured bacterium. RNAcentral's name for it is "partial 16S ribosomal RNA". It matches the Rfam family "Bacterial small subunit ribosomal RNA", at positions 359 to 495 of the family's 1533-position model. The record is from RNAcentral.